CCCCCUGCAGCCCCACCUCCGUCUGCAUGUCAGCCUGCAGCGGUGCCUCCCGCACAAGGUGAUGGGAGCAGCCCACGAUGCAGGGGCGGGGUCUCGAGGGUGUUGUGACUGCGCUGCGGAGGCAGCCCCCAGGCAGGAGAGGGCCCCAGCGCCCACCCAGGAGGGAGAUCUCACACCCUGCUCCCCCACCCGAGGCAGCAUAUUCACUUUUGACUCUGACCUCCCGCAGGAAGCUGGCAUUGGCACCUGUGCAGGCCUGUGCUGAAAGCCAGCGACAAGUGUGUCACAGGAAGACAAACUGCUUGGCUUUCCGAAACGCGUUCUGCACCCCCCCGCGCCCACGUCCCAUCUCCCCACGACCUCCUGGAGCCCCUCCACCAAGACCGAGCCACACUCAUGUCCCGCGUGGCCCAGCGGAGCCCCACGGGGACUCGCGUGUGCGGUCGGGAGUCGUGGUUGCACAGCAGGGUCCAGACCUCAGCCCCCGACCCCACCCACUGGGUUCUGGAACCCGGGCUGGGCUGGGGGCGUCGCCCGGUCUGUGAAGGGGCAGUCCUCGGACCGAGGCCAGGGCCCGCUCACCUGCAGGGGCGCCCUCCGGCCCCCGACCCCACCCCUGCGUGCCUGGCUCAGGUGCUGGAACCCGGCCCCUGACCCCCACCCCUGCGUGCCUGGCUCAGGUGCUGGAACCCGGGCUGGGGUGGGGGCAUCGCCCGGGCUGCCUGGGGGCGUCGCCCGGUCUGUGAAGGGGGCAGUGCCAGGGCCCGCUCACCUGCAGGGGCGCCCUCCGGCCCCGGACCCCACCCCUGCGAGCUGGCUCAGCGGCUGGAACCCCGGCUGGCGGGGGGCGUCGCCCGGACUGCCUGGGGGCGCCGCCCGGUCUGUGAAGGGGCAGUCCUCGGACCCGAGGCCGGGGCCGCUCACCUGCAGGGGCGCCCUCCGGGCCCCCGACCCCACCCCUGCGAGCUGGCUCAGCGGCUGGAACCCGGGCUGGGCUGGGGGCGUCGCCCGGUCUGUGAAGGGGGCAGUCCUCGGACCCGAGGCCGGGGCCCGCUCACCUGCAGGGGCGCCCUCCGGCCCCGACCCCCACCCCCUGCGAGCUGGCUCAGUGGGCUGGGAGCCCGGGCUGGCGGGGGCGUCGCCCGGUCAGAGAAGGGAGCAGUCCUCGGACCCGAGGNNNNNNNNNNNNNNNNNNNNNNNNNNNNNNNNNNNNNNNNNNNNNNNNNNNNNNNNNNNNNNNNNNNNNNNNNNNNNNNNNNNNNNNNNNNNNNNNNNNNGGAGGGGCCUGCGCACGCGCAGGAGUCCGGGGGUGGGGGGGGAACAGGAACUGCCUGCGCAUGCGCCUGAGUCCCGGGCGGGGCCUGGAGGCCCCAGGGUGCUCCUUGCGCAUGCGCACGAGUCCUGGUCCCUGCACGGCUUUCUGCGAUGCGGGUGGCACCUUAGAGUCACCCGAGGCGUGGGCCGGCCUCUCGGGCCCGGUGCGGCUCCACUCUGCUCCCCGAUGGCACUGAGGCUGUCCGGGCACCUGGGCAGCGGGUGCCUGGGGCUGCCCUCAGAGACGGUGUCGGCCUUGGUCAGGGACUCGGGCACCCGGGUCUUCUGCAGCCCCCAGGGGGUCCUCCUGCGUGGUGAGGUCGAGGGCCAGGGCCAGGGCUCCACCCUCCCUCUGCGGAGGCCGCCUGGGCCUUCCCGUCUCUGAAUCGGUCAGGGGAAUUCACAUCCCGCCCUGGGGUCUGCCCAGCGGUGGGGCCGGGACCAUCCGCGUCUGCGUGCAGCGUAGACACCGACUGCCCUGGACUUCAGAAGUGCUGCCCCUGGCCGGGGGGCCUCCGCUGUGUGGCCCCCGCACCCCAAGGUAGGGCUGCUAUAGGCAUGCUUGCCGAGGGGCAGCAGGGAGGGCCCUGGUGAGGCCGGGGUGGGAGGCCUCUGGGAGUGGCAGCCCCAGCUUCGCGGGGAGCCCUCCCCCGUGUGCACAGGUGCAGCUCACGCGUGUGCGUGCUCUUUGUCAAAAUCCUGCCCCUGCAGCCCCAGGAGAGAAGCGCUAACGGCCCACCCAGGUCCUCGCUCGUCUGGGGAAGGCCUGGGCCCUGGGUGUAGCUGUCAAAGCCGCCGUGUCUCCCUGUGGGAGGUGUGGGUGCCAACGCUGAGCCAGCACAGGGGCCUGGCUGACGGCCGUCUCCCUGGGCACUGCCCACCGUGUGCCCAGGCUGCAGGCCUGGAAGGUUCUCUGCUGGCCUGGGAGGGUUCUCUCUGCUCCCAGAAUGUUCUAAGCUAGAGAAACAGGCCAUGAAAGUAUCCUACUUAUGAAUCUGGUCUUGGUAUACUCUAGUCACAAGCAGUAGUCUAACCAAUAUCAAGUUUGCGUACUGCGAUACUAGGUGUUGACUCUGCUACUGAAUGGUUGUGGUAUGCAUCGCAUGUAACAUGCUACAUAGGGUGUUACACAGCGUGUGACAGUCAGUAAUCUCUUCUGCAGCAUGCGUGGUGUUGCACGUUGUUACACAACUUGAUGUUAAUAGUAUAAGCAGCACAAAUGAAAUAGAGGAAUGGCACGGCGUCUAGUAACUUCAUAUACGAGGGUAAUGUUAUACUACAGUGAGGGCUGGCGGCUGUAUUCACACCCUAGGAGGAUCUG
Molecule: long non-coding RNA, 2635 nt
Organism: Oryctolagus cuniculus (rabbit)
Lineage: Eukaryota; Metazoa; Chordata; Mammalia; Lagomorpha; Leporidae
Source: Ensembl